This 443-nucleotide ribosomal RNA is filed under the name uncultured bacterium. RNAcentral describes it as "partial 16S ribosomal RNA". It matches the Rfam family "Bacterial small subunit ribosomal RNA", at positions 338 to 795 of the family's 1533-position model. The record is from RNAcentral.
CCUACGGGAGGCAGCAGUGGGGAAUAUUGGGCAAUGGGCGCAAGCCUGACCCAGCAACGCCGCGUGAAGGAAGAAGGCUUUCGGGUUGUAAACUUCUUUUCUGAGGGACGAAGAAAGUGACAGUACCUCAGGUAUAAGCCACGGCUAACUACGUGCCAGCAGUCGCGGUAAUACGUAGGUGGCAAGCGUUAUCCGGAUUUAUUGGGUGUAAAGGGCGUGUAGGCGGGAAAGCAAGUCAGAUGUGAAAUCUCAGGGCUCAACCCUGAUCCUGCAUUGGAAACUGUUUUGCUUGUGUGCUGGAGAGGCAGGCGGAAUUCGUGGUGUAGCGGUGAAAUGCGUAGAUAUACGGAAGAACACCAGUGGCGAAGGCGGAUUGCUGGACAGUAACUGACGCUGAGGCGCGAAAGCGUGGGGAGCAAACAGGAUUAGAUACCCCUGUAGUC